This 82-nucleotide transfer RNA is filed under the name Affinundibacterium amnicola. RNAcentral's name for it is "tRNA-Leu". It matches the Rfam family "tRNA". From Rfam's summary of the family: Transfer RNA (tRNA) molecules are approximately 80 nucleotides in length. Their secondary structure includes four short double-helical elements and three loops (D, anti-codon, and T loops). The record is from RNAcentral. Lineage: Bacteria; Pseudomonadati; Pseudomonadota; Betaproteobacteria; Burkholderiales; Oxalobacteraceae.
GCGCAAAUGGUGGAACGGUAGACACGCUAGUCUUAGGAACUAGUACUUCGGUGUGAGAGUUCGAAUCUCUCUUUGCGCACCA